This 314-nucleotide unclassified non-coding RNA is filed under the name plant metagenome. RNAcentral's name for it is "partial contains 5.8S ribosomal RNA, internal transcribed spacer 2, and large subunit ribosomal RNA". The stretch from base 1 to 105 matches the Rfam family "5.8S ribosomal RNA", at positions 50 to 154 of the family's 154-position model. The record is from RNAcentral.
GAAAUGCGAUAAUUAAUGUGAAUUGCAGAAUUCAGUGAAUCAUCGAGUCUUUGAACGCACAUUGCGCCCCCUGGUAUUCCGGGGGGCAUGCCUGUCCGAGCGUCAUUGCUGCCCUCAAGCACGGCUUGUGUGUUGGGCUUCCGUCCCUGGCAACGGGGACGGGCCCAAAAGGCAGUGGCGGCACCAUGUCUGGACCUCGAGCGUAUGGGGCUUUGUCACCCGCUCCCGUAGGUCCAGCUGGCAGCUAGCCUCGCAACCAAUCUUUUUAACCAGGUUGACCUCGGAUCAGGUAGGGAUACCCGCUGAACUUAAGC